RNAcentral lists this ribosomal RNA (1480 nucleotides) under metagenome. RNAcentral's name for it is "bacterial SSU rRNA". It matches the Rfam family "Bacterial small subunit ribosomal RNA". The record is from RNAcentral.
AGAGUUUGAUCCUGGCUCAGGACGAACGCUGGCGGCGUGCCUAACACAUGCAAGUCGAGCGGAGACAGUGAGUAGCUUGCUAUGAGCUGUCUUAGCGGCGGACGGGUGAGUAACGCGUGAGCAACCUUUCCCAGACAGGGGAAUAACACACCGAAAGGUGUACUAAUACCGCAUAAGACCACGGGAUCACAUGGUUCUGGGGUAAAAGAUUUAUCGGUUUGGGGUGGGCUCGCGUCCGAUUAGGUAGUUGGUGAGGUAACGGCCCACCAAGCCGACGAUCGGUAGCCGACCUGAGAGGGUGAUCGGCCACAUUGGGACUGAGACACGGCCCAAACUCCUACGGGAGGCAGCAGUGGGAAUAUUGGGCAAUGGAGGAAACUCUGACCCAGCAACGCCGCGUGGAGGAAGAAGGUUUUCGGAUCGUAAACUCCUGUCCUUGGAGACGAGUAGAAGACGGUAUCCAAGGAGGAAGCCCCGGCUAACUACGUGCCAGCAGCCGCGGUAAUACGUAGGGGGCAAGCGUUGUCCGGAAUAAUUGGGCGUAAAGGGCGCGUAGGCGGCUCGGUAAGUCUGGAGUGAAAGUCCUGCUUUUAAGGUGGGAAUUGCUUUGGAUACUGUCGGGCUUGAGUGCAGGAGAGGUUAGUGGAAUUCCCAGUGUAGCGGUGAAAUGCGUAGAGAUUGGGAGGAACACCAGUGGCGAAGGCGACUAACUGGACUGUAACUGACGCUGAGGCGCGAAAGUGUGGGGAGCAAACAGGAUUAGAUACCCUGGUAGUCCACACUGUAAACGAUGAAUGCUAGGUGUAGGGGGUAUCGACCCCUUCUGUGCCGCAGUCAACACAAUAAGCAUUCCGCCUGGGGAGUACGGCCGCAAGGUUGAAACUCAAAGGAAUUGACGGGGGCCCGCACAAGCAGCGGAGCAUGUGGUUUAAUUCGACGCAACGCGAAGAACCUUACCAGGUCUUGACAUCCACUUAAACUUACAGAGAUGUAAGGUGUGCUUGCACAAAGUGAGACAGGUGGUGCAUGGUUGUCGUCAGCUCGUGUCGUGAGAUGUUGGGUUAAGUCCCGCAACGAGCGCAACCCUUAUCUUCAGUUACUAACGCGUGAGGGUGAGGACUCUGAAGAGACUGCCGGGGACAACUCGGAGGAAGGUGGGGACGACGUCAAAUCAUCAUGCCCCUUAUGACCUGGGCUACACACGUGCUACAAUGGCCACGACAGAGAGAAGCGAAAUCGCAAGGUAGAGCGGAACUCAAAAAAGUGGUCCCAGUUCGGAUUGUGGGCUGCAACCCGCCCACAUGAAGUCGGAGUUGCUAGUAAUCGCGGAUCAGCAUGCCGCGGUGAAUACGUUCCCGGGCCUUGUACACACCGCCCGUCACACCAUGGGAGUUGGGAGUGCCCAAAGCCGGUGAGGCAACCGCAAGGAGCCAGCCGUCUAAGGCAAGACCAAUGACUGGGGUGAAGUCGAAACAAGGUA